CGACAGAAAUGACCAUGAAGGCUCAACAGAUGACCACAUCAAUGUCAACCACAACACCGGCGUUAGGAAAACGUCGGUGGUGUGGAGGUAUUUUGGUUUUUGGAGGUCGGACAUGAAGCAGAGUAAUGUGGACUGUAAAUUAUGUCGAGUAUAUGUUCUCACAAAGUCGGGGAAUACCUCAAAUCUUUUUCACCACCUGAAGCAGCGCCACGCCGCAGAGCACGCGCAACGCAGAAGGUUACAAACCCCGAGAGGAGCGAGGAGCCCAUGGCGCCUGAAACAGACGACCAUUCAGUCGGCUUUCUCUAGAGCGACGCCUUACGACAAAACGCCAAAGAGACACAAAGACCUCACAGAUGCAGGAGAUUAUUGUGUUGGAAAAGAAAUGAGACCAAUAAACACUUCUACAUUUCAUUUUUAUAUCCUGAUAUUGAUCGAUAUCAGCUGAUAUGAAAACAAUAUAUAGUGAUAAACUUUUUCCCAUAUCGCCCAGCCCUAAGUCAGAGCUUACACUGCCCCCCAUCAUCUAAAUAACAUAUUACAUAUAAAGUGUUUACUGUUGCUAACUCUUCCCAUUCACAUGCAUCCAAACCUGCGAGCUGCUUUUCCAGGUUUCAUACCCGAGACUUCACCCCCAACUCUGACACCCACAGACCUGCAGCCGCCCCAAAUAUCUCUCUAUAUUAUAUAUGACUGCAGACUUGCUGAUUGUGCCCAUACAAAGCUGAAAUGAAACCUCCCUGCCUCACAAACCAUUUCUGCCGCCAACUGCUCUCAGUGUGACUUCAGGAUGCCUCCGACAAAGCAGUGAACUAUGUCAGAUGAUAAUGCCUCUCCUGGUAUCUACCUGCUGCUGCCAGGCUCAUGAACAUAAGUGGGGGAAAUGUAAGGUCUGCUGUCAAACUGUGUAAAAGAGAAAGAGAGCACUUGACAAAAAGGCCUUCACACACUGAGAGGUGCACGGUUCCCUAUAUCUGUGUACUUUUAUUGGGAAAGUGUUGGAGCAUAAGCCGUCCAGCUGCUGCACAAACAACUGCUCCAAGAUUGGAGAGAGAGGGAAACGUUUGGACGAGUUAUGUAACGGUCUGUGGUAAAGAAAUGUGAUAGAAGGAUAUAAAGCCAGUCCUCCACAAGCCAACCACAACAACUCCAGGCUUCAGAACACACAAUACCUACACUGUCAGUAAAGGAAAACUACAACUGCGUCACAUCAGACAGCAGCUACACCCAACCAUAGCACUUUAACAGGUGAAGCCGACAGCACUGUUGGUGAGAAACAAAGAAAAUGAGUGCUACCCCCGACAGAAAUGACCAUGAAGGAUCACCAGAUGACCACAUCAAUGUCAACGACAACACUGGCGUUAGGAAAACGUCGGUGGUGUGGAGGUAUUUUGCAGAGUAGCAGAGUAAUGUGGACUGUAAAUUAUGUCGAGUACAUGUUCUCACAAAGUUGGGGAAUACCUCAAAUCUUUUUGAGGAGCCCAUGGUGCCUGUGCAGCCGAAACAGUCGACCAUUCAGUCCACUUUCUCUAGAGCAACGCCUUAUGACAAAAUGCCACAGAGUCACAAAGACCUCACAGAUGCUGUAGCUCAUUCUAUUGCAAAAGAUGUGCUACCAAUAAACACUGUUAAAUUUCAUUUUUUAUAUCGUGAUAUAAAAAAUCGAUAUCGACUGAUAUGAAUAAAAUACCCUAACUCUGAGUGAUAGUCGUAAUAUUGUGAAGAUUUGUGAGUCUCUUCUAAAAACUGUACAUGUUGUUGAUUCCUUGAUGUGUCCAUAGUACUUCAGGUCUAUGUUUAGGCUGCCUCAUGAAAGCCUGGAGAGCACAAUUAAAGAGUCUCACUCCUAAAGAAGUUAGCAGUACUCACCAAAUGGUUGGCGCCAAUGUCGCCAAUGUUAAUUCGCUGGAAGAAACAAUUCUGAGAAAUGCCUCUAGGUUGGCAUCGAGCUCCGACCUCCAGUCCUGAGAAAUGAGACCAAUACUGCAAAAUACUGCAGUUCAUGGAAAGCCUGACUGAGGCGGGAGCAGAAAAAAAAACACUGAGACGAAAAAACAUUUAAAACAAAUUUAGAGCAAAAAUAAACAUUUUUACAGGCUUGUUCAAAAAGUGGAUUUAGCUCAGGGUCAGAUAUAUUAAUUUAUUUAUAAUGUUUUAACCAAAAUAAUGAGGUUUAAUAAUUUCAUUUAAUAUUUUCUGUAAAGGUCUAAGUAAACUUUUUUAUAAUUAUCUGUUAACUUUGUUAAUGAUGAUUUUACUAUUGUUCUCUGUUUGCUGCUGUAACUCUGCAGAUUUCCCAGCCAUGGGGGAUUUUUAUUAACAAUAUUUUUGUUAUAAUAUCUUUUUUUAUGGUUUGAUUAAGUAUGAAUUUAAACCGACAAACUGGAGGAUAUGAUGAGGUCAAGGUUUUGAGGAUGCGUUCAGACGCCUCGGGUGUAAAGGUCACUUUCACACUCAGUCAGACACUUCGGUGACCCAGCCGUUCCCCUGACCUCCUUCCUAAGAACUUCUGCAGUCACGCUACGUCUGCCUUUGCUUAUGGGUGACAGCCAUUCUUAGCCAGGGCUUGUCAUGAGAAUUUAAAAAUAGACUACAUUAAACGCAAGUGAGUGAACAAAGGACGGAGGCUGCUGAGACGUGGACCGCACUGUGUAACAGCGAGUUCCUAAAUAAUAUAACAGCAGAAGGAAUAAGGAUAAUAAUAAUAACGAUGAUGAUGAUGAUUUAACGAGGUGAAGGAAGUUUGACACGAGUUACAUCACUGAGAAUAUUUUCAUAUAAACUGAAUUUAUGACGGCACAUGUACAAGAGUCACAAACUCAAUCAGCUCCAGUCAUCUCAUCCUAACUGAUAAUAUAUUCUGACUUAUAAUAAAAUCUGUUUAUUUCUGACCCUCAUAGAUAUAUAUAUAUAUAUUCAUAUAAAGAUACUGUAUAUCCACAGCAGGGACAGACUGAGAGCCUCAUCAGUACCAGCUCACAGGCUCAGAUCAGGGCCUUUCAUAGAGAGCUUUAGCUUCAGUUCAGAGGGUCUCUUUCUCUUUAUUUCCAGUGAUAGGCCAUCGUUCUUAUGUAACACCCCUGUGACAUUUUCACACUCCAUAGAAACGUCUUUAAAUAAAGCUCUGAAAUAGACUCUUAAGGCGCUGCGGCCCUUAAGAGAAGCUGUGUCGAUAAUAUCAACUGUAAUUGCCGGUGGACUCCGAUUUCUCCAACAUCUGUCUACGCCUGAAUUCCCUCAUGGCCAACAUUAUUGAUCACGCUCCCUGUCACUGCAUCACAUUACCAUCUGUCUAUACAUUUACCAUCAGGCUUUGUGCGCUAAGGUCAAUGCAAACGUGAGGGAAUAAAACUCCACCGUUUCAUCGGCGUUUGUUUGAAACAGGAGAAUAAAGAGGCAAUUUAUCAUCCGAUGAUACAUCUGUUAUCGUGGUUUAAUACAUUCAUAACUGCAGAGAGACUGUAUGUGCAAGGUAGGUAGGACUGCAUGAUAGUGGAAAAAGAGAGUAGAGGAAGAGCAAAUUGGUUUAUAUUGUAUAAGUUCAUUUCUGAGGUUGAAACUGAUUUUAAGACUUUAAAAGUAGAGACACUACGGAAUUGUUAGAUUUCACAAAAAAGUCGGUUUGUCCAUCCAAUCAGGUGAUUCCAGAUAGAUGCAUAAAUCCUGGACUGAGAGGAAGUGGUGACCGCGAGAUGUGACCGUCAUUUGUGGUGUGACGUGACCAUCGUGCACGCAUAUGUCGUAACUGCCUCACAAGCUAGCAAGCUUCUUCGUCUGCUUGGUCAUCUUUCCAGCAUUUCAAAGCGGGUGGUAAAAAGCGUCAAGAACCACAACCAUCCACCAGUAUGAUCCAGAAAGUUUGAUGUUGUCAGUAUUUCUUAUUCUUUCAGACAGUUAUGAUGGAUGCGGGUCGAGUACGGCGGCCUCAACACGCUCAGGUACAUCUGUAAUUAUUGUGCGUAUUUCCACACGGAUGUAAAUGUUGACCUCUCCUCAGGACACGGUAACGAAUCAGGACGCGCUAUAUAUCGCAGAUAAAACCACACACUCGCUCUACUGCACCCACAUCUGAAAAAAGGAGGAAACUUAAGACCGGUCUGGAUCUGUCUGAGCAGGGAAAAGUCGGUCGAACACGUUGAGAUUGUUUCCUAGAUGUGCUCAGAGGCACUCAAAGAAAGGACAAAAACGACUAAAAGCAGCACUCCUGCCUCCUCUCUGCAGCCCUCCUCUCCCCCGUGCCUCUUCCCUCGCCACGUUCAUCCUCCCCCUGCUGUCAGGAUGAGUGUCGGGCUCUCUGCUCUCCCAGAUGUUCGCUGGCAGGAGGAGGCUGAAUGUCUGUCAUCAGUCAGGACAAGUGACAGCCACGUCGGCGGCCUGUCACAGCUGCCGUUGCUCAGGUCACUGAAGGUGUCGCCAUCAAGCAAUGAUGCCGAGGCGAACGUCGCAGCAACCUCGCAGACAAUAAAAGGGGGACAAGAGGAGGUUCUGGUUUUUACAGUGAACCAGGAGGGAGGACUGGGACUGCAUAGACUUCUCACUUUAGGACCCAGAAGACCUUUUUCUAGGGUCAGACUCAAUGUAACUGAACACAAAUUAUCAAAUCAGACGUGUUUUCGUGAGUUAAACCACGCGUGGACAACUCUGAGGCAACUUCCACAGCAUACAGCAGCUUCAAGUCAUCCUCAAUGCCAUCCAUGCACAUCUAUAACAUCUAUUUCUGUGUUUCCCCUUAAAAUAAGUCCAAACUCAUGUGGACAGCACCUCACACACACACACACACACACAGAUCUGCCGUACAGUAAACCACCAAACCUGAGGGUCCGGUCCUGCAGGGCUUUGAGGAAGCCGUUCUCCCAAACAGGGUUACAUCAUCAUCAUCAUCAUCAUCAGGAGGAGGAAAAUGUCAUGACCCAAAUUUGACUGCAAAUGAAUCAUGAACGAUUUAGCAGAGAGGAUCUGAAGAUCGUGUGCAUCUUCAAAUGUUCUCGGCGUAUCCCACAGUGACCUCCCCGUAAACCCAGAGACACACUUCCUGUUUUUUUCUUUGUUUUCGACUUGAAUAAAGUCAGUCAGCGGCAAUAACUGCAAAAACACAAACAAGCAGUGUGAUGUAAAAAAUACAGAAUGAGCAGUCAGACGAGAGACUGAAGAAAAUCUGCUCUAGUUAAAGCUUUUUUAUUAUUACUCCAGCUGUGUUAGAUACUUGAUUCUGAUUGGUCAAAAUCCAACAACUCUGGUUAUUGAUUGUCAGUAGUGUUGGGCGGUAUGACAGUAUUUACAGCCACAUAGACAUAUAAGCAGUAGAUUGUGUCCUUCCAGAGGAGGAAAUCUACUUCUAGACUUCUAGAAUCAGCAUCUCCUCAUCCAUGGUGUCAUCGGGGUGAAAUGACGUCUAAAAACCUUUCACUUGUUCGUCUCCGCCCGUUUGCAUGGUGUGAAAUACGAUCCUCCUGAAACACGGAGUGUUUUAUUUUGAAAAGAAGCCGGAUGUUUUAUUUUGUGUCUGUGCCCGACUUCCUUUCCAGCACGGGUUAAUCUGUGCUGAAUUUAUCCGCCAUGCUCCGGCGUCCUGAAAAAAUAGAACUCUUGUGAUCCGCAGAGGAACGGAAAGAAGUCGGUGUAAAUUGACACGUUAACUUGAAUGUUUACGAUCAGCUACGAUCGGAGGAUACGACCUUUUAGGAGACAUUCUGGAUGCGAAAUUGGGGGUUAGCGUCCAGUUGUUCUCUUGAGUCCAUACCAGUUCACCUCAGUUUCAUCAAAGUUCAUAAAAACAGAUGAAUUGAAUAUUAAAUACCGAGUUUGUCGGUCAGGGUCAGGUCUGCAGGAUCACAGGAUCAAACCCACUCUCUCCUAAACCCACACUGUUGCUCUGUCAGGACGCCGGGAUCAUGAUUGUGGUUCUGAAAAGUUGACAUGACUUUCUGUAUUUGUCUGAGAACAGGCAGCUGCACUCUGAAUGUCGACACUUCCUCCACAAAUACGAUGAUACAGUAGCGUGGAUUUGCGGCGUAUAAUAGCACAGUGGGGGCGUUGAAAUAUGAAAUUGCUUGCUCUAAUUGCUGCCACUUUGGAACUUAAGCUGAGCAAAAGCAAUUUUUACUGAGAGAUUUAUGUCGAGGAGGAUCCACUACAACAGAGAGAAGUGACCGGACGAGCUGCAGCAGCUCAUUCCAGAGGAGCUCAGAUGAUGACAUGACUCAGAGUCUCUGGAAACUCAAGCAGCAUCUUACUGUCAUGGAGGUGGAUGAGAGAGAACAGUAACAGGGGAUUUCAGGACGGCAUCAUCAUCUUUGCAUUGAGGAAUAAUGUGACGAAGAGGAAGUUCAGCAGAGUAGAAAUAAAGGAAAGGAAGAAUUAAUCUCCUGUACUCUGGUCCUGUUCCUGAAAAGUAAACUUUUGGACCCCGCUUCACCGUCUUUGUUCAGAUAUUAUUUUAUCUACAGUCUAAAAAAGGAAAUAUAACGAGGUCUUCGCCUUGCUCCGGGUUGCAGAGGCUGCAGAUAAAAACUCUGGCGGUUCCUCCUUGUUGUGUUUAUUUUUGCUCCCUGCGGACUGAGCACAGGCAUGUCCAAAGGUGUGUUUGUAUUCCCUGAAGACAAUAAAAGGAGAACUGUACGGAUCACUGCACCAAGGUUGUGGUUAGGAGUCAAAGGCAAGUGAACAAGGUCAACUCUGACUUUCUUUGACUUCUUACUGCUGCCUGAAAAUCCCAACACUCUCCAGGGCCGAGAAAGAAAACGACUUUAGGAGGUUCGAUUUGGACUGAGAUCUGAUGUUACGUCUAAAUGACAAGAAAUCCUAAAAUUGAUCUUAUAUAACACAACACACUUUCCUGUAGGAAGUAACCGGCCUUUACAGAUCUGUGCUUUGUAACAUUAGCAUGAAGAGAAGUGGAGCUGCACCUCUGAACGCACCGCUAAAUUCUGCGCUGUUCCUCACACAGACUAUAUCUGCAAAAACGCACCUGAAGGACGCAUUUACGUUAAAGCUGUCCAAACAUGAACAGAACCAACCUAAAACUAACUUCACUGCGUAUUUACAGGAAAAUAUAUCCAACCUAAAACUAACUUCACCGCCGUGUUUACAGGAAAAUAUAUCCAACCUGAAACUAACUUCACCGCCGUAUUUACAGGAAAAUAUAUCCAACCUAAAACUAACUUCACUGCGUAUUUACAGGAAAAUAUAUCCAACCUAAAACUAACUUCACCGCCGUAUUUACAGGAAAAUAUAUCCAACCUAAAACUAACUUCACCGCCGUAUUUACAGGAAAAUAUAUCCAACCUAAAACUAACUUCACCGCCGUAUUUACAGGAAAAUAUAUCCAACCUGAAACUAACUUCACCGCUGUAUUUACAGGAAAAUAUAUCCAACCUAAAACUAACUUCACCGCCGUAUUUACAGGAAAAUAUAUCCAACCUAAAACUAACUUCACCGCCGUAUUUACAGGAAAAUAUAUCCAACCUGAAACUAACUUCACCGCCGUAUUUACAGGAAAAUAUAUCCAACCUAAAACUAACUUCACCGCUGUAUUUACAGGAAAAUAUAUCCAACCUGAAACUAACUUCACCGCUGUAUUUACAGGAAAAAAAACAUUUGUUGAUUUUUUUUUAUGCGCACAUGUGACCCUAAAUACAUUUUACAAUUCACACACAUCUAUUUUUAGUCUUAAAUGCAAGUGAAACGGUCACACUGUCGAGCCCUGGAAACUGUUUCGUGCUCAACAAUCGCUCUUUUGUCGUCACUCAGUUACUCACAAAAUACAAAAAUAUGUACUUUACUGAGUGAGAAUAACAAGGACAGUCUGAAUUAAAGAUGCAAAUGACAGAUUUGUUCACACUGUACUUAUCAAGGUACCAUCAUAAUAAAAAACAGACAUUAAUUUUGAAAUAUGUGUUACUAAUGUGGUUAUUAUUGAAGCUUGAAUGAAUCAGACAUGAACAAUAAUUAAGGCCGAUAAAGUCAAACAUGAACAUUAAUCGUUGAUGUAAACAGGUUUGAUCGUAGUGAGAUGAUUUUUGAUUAUAUCGCCCAGCUCUAAGUGACUGUAGGUCAUAUCUCCGUUGGUUUUAAUCUUAUUUUAAUUUUUUUUAAAUUUAACAUAUUGUAUAAUGUUCUGUAUUGUGUUUUAUCUAUACUGUAAGGUGACCUUGAGUGUCUUGAAAGGCGCCACAACAAAUAAAAUGUAUUAUUAUUAUUAUUAUGACCAGAAUGGCACAAUUAUGGACUAGAAAUUAGAUAAUUUACAUAUAUUUUAGACUGAGUGUAAAACCGUCAGUCUGGUGAGUCUGGUCCACAGAUUGUUCUCUUGUCUCUGUAACUGAAACAUCUCUGAUUGAACAGGGAUGAAAUUAACUCAAAGUACUGGAUGACAAUAAAUGAGUGGAUGUUAUAUAACCAGCGCUGUUAUAUAAUACAUGAUCUUUAAAAAUAGUUGGUACUACUUUCAAAUCAUGGGCCGCCCACCUGCUCAGAGUUAAAGAGAGAUUUAUGAUUAAAGUCAAACAGAACAAACACAUGCCAACAUGUCAAAGUGCAGUCUAUCCCAAUUACUGCAGAGGAUGGAGUCUGACUCCGGAGCUGAGACAGUUUAUUAAAAAGUACAGGACAAACAAACCCAACCUGAGUGGGCACCAAAGAAAAGAGAGCAGAGAGGGAGAGCUUUGAGAGUCGACCACAGAGUGAACUCUGCUACAAAUGAGGAACUAUUGUGUGCUUUUUUCCACAAUGUGUUCAUGAAUUUCCACAAUGCUUUUUUUAUUGCUGCUCUAGGGUUCACUGGCUCAUGAAACUUUCUAAGCACACAAAAGACCGAAGAACCUUUCAAUCCCAGAAAGAAAGAAAGACAGAGGGGGUAAAAAUCAGCGCUGAAAUGUUUUCCCAAGACGACAGGAGAAAGCAAAUGAGAGAUCUGAAAGCUAAGCCAGCGGUGUCAACACUAAAAACUGUCCAUACUAAUGACUUCCCACAGGGAGUCUCCACUUUAUUCCUUCUCCGUUGUCAGCACAGUCACCCAUUCAACUGCAGGAGAGCCGUCUCACUUCCACUCCCGAGGAACGCUCGGCAUCGCAUUUCCAUCCUGAUUUGCAGCCGAUGUAUAAACCCGUCCUUGUCUUCUAUUUAAAUGUAAAACAUGGAGCUAUUCAGAGCAUGCAUGGAGCUGCUGCAGAGACACUAAUCAGGAACAAUGUACCUGCGGGGGAGCGCUGACACCCUGUUUAAAACAAUCCGAUUAUAUUGAUGUGUUUAUUUAUCCAAUGUGCUCAGGGUCAUCAUCGCUCAUGCUUGUCAUCCUGCACCUCCAGCGCGCUCCGUCUUCACUCCAAUCUUCUCCUCUUUUGUUUAGGACCACACCUUCUCCGUUUGUUAGCAGCCUGUUCAUCUCCCUCACUGUCCCGGCCUUCAUCGCUCAUGCACUCCUUCUCUUCUCGCUGACGUCCCUCCUCGUCUUCGCCCACCCCUCCUUUCCGUUCAGAUCACUCGGCUCCAUAUCAGCCUCCUCCUCCUCCCUUUGGAUCACCUCCUUCUUUCCUCUCCUCUCUUCCUCUCCAUCAUUUCAUCCUCCCUUUCCCUGAGACGUGCUGAUGGUGGGCUCUGCACCCCCCACCCCCCCUCUGUCAAACUUGUGAUAAACGUCUUCUCCUCCCACUGAUACACGGCUAAUACCUCCAAAAAGUCAAAUACAUCACGUUAACCAUCAUGGCGAGUGUGUGUGUGUGUGUGUGUGUGUGUGUGUGAAGGACUGAUGUCAGGUAGAGUCUGCUGUCUCAGCAGACUGACAUCUGGGUAAUGAAGUCCUGAUGAUCCUUCUGGAGUGAGUGUCGCUCUGCUGAGAAUAGAUGCACGCCGCCAUAACUUAACGCAGCGAUUCCAGCGAGCAGCGGUGGCGGCGGGCGGACUGAUGGCCCCCAGGCUUGUUGAGACUGUAACUGCCACUUCUGGUUAACGACGAAUCAGAGACGGGACUCAGACGCUGGUUAACCCACUUUCUAACUCCACACACUGCCUGGAUGAUCAUAUCAUCGCUGAGUAAUGUGUGACGGCAGAAACGACCAUGAUCUGUUUCAUGACGACACGUUAACGCCAACGACGCAGACUUCAACGCUCAGCUGGAUCAGUGACCAACAGCUCUUAUGAGCGGACUAACCCCCAAUUUCCACCUUCAUCCUGAUCGUCUCCUAAAAGGUCGUAUCCUCCGAUCGUAGCUGAUCGUAACCAUUCAAGUUAACGUGUCAAUUUACACCGACUUCUUUCCGUUCCUCUGCGGAUCGCCGGACUCCUCAGCUGAUCACAAGAGUUCUAGUUUUUCUGGACGCCGGAGCAUGGCGGAUAAAUUCAGCACAGAUUAACCCGUGCUGGGGUUUGUUUCUCCAGAUGUAACAAAGAGUGUUGAUGGGAACAAAUACUGGUUUCCAGUUUGCUUGUUGUUCUUGUUCUGGACGUCUUCUUCUCCAUCAUCAUUUAACUCCUCCCACUUUCCUUAACGCUGUCUUGUGUGAAACGGCGUGUGCGGCCCCUCUUUGGUGUCAUGUUGGAAAUUGCUUGGGUUUUUCCUCCGCGACAAUCAAUUUGGCUGUUUUUCACCAUUUCUGACGGACUAAAUCAAUGUGACAGGAGCACUCGCUCUCGCUUAGGUGGAAGAUUUUACACUGUCAGAGGAGGAUUUUUCUGCUCUCCUAGCAAACAAAAGAAAAGUGUCUGCCGACGAGGGCAGAGCGGGCGCAUGAAGUGUUAGAAAUCAGACAGCGGGGGACACCCAGGAUGACAGGAAGGACAGGAUUUAAGGAGAGGAGGAGUGCAGGUGGGAAUAAAGUGCUGUACAGAAGUGAACAUGAUGUGAUGAGAUCAUAAACUGUAGAAAUGUAAAUCGGACUCUCCUGAGGUUGAGACUUUCAGGCCCUGAGCGUUAAAAUGAAGGUCUGAUUGACAUGCUUCUGGUGUAACAGAGUGGAGGAUUAUGUUUUCACACCAACUCUGAGUAAACCUGGAAGGUUGAACUGAGAGUUAGUGUUGCAGGAAAACACAACACACACACACACACACACACACACACACACACACACACACACAGGAGUCACAAGUCUGUCUAGUGUUAUGAACGUUCAGAUCCAACACCUCACUCGUCCUGACUGCUCCGCCUCCCUGUGCCUGAAACGCUGAGCCCGGUCACGUCAGAGGCUAAAGUUACUGUUACCACGGUUACCAGGUCUUCACCAACUUCACCGUCCACCUUUUACUCCUGCACAUGCAGGGCGCUCUCUGCUCUUCGGUCAAAAAUCGAUGAUGUGAUGAAAACAGAGGAAGUAGGAAGUAAGAGGAUCAUGAUGGACUUUAUUUAUUUAAUGUUCAGAUGGAUCAGAGGAGACUCGGGGUCGACUGAACGUUCAUGGAAGUCCAGCUGCUGUUCAACCAUCCUCACUCUCCAUCAUAUACUUUAUUUUUGUAUCCAUCACAGGGCUUGACACUAACUAAGGAGUACUAUUAUUACUAUUAUUAGAAAUCAAUUUUAGGUCUUUUGGUCACAUGACAUGGAAGCUAUUGUGAGAACAGCCUUUUCUGAGAACAUCAACCGGUAAUUUAUUGACGGUCCCUUAUUCAACACCCGACGUUGACAGUGAGGGUGUCGAGUAGAUUUAACCGCGCUGCUGUUGUUAUUCCCGGUUAUGGAGAGUGAGAAGACAGCGGUAGAUCCUCAGAGAAUGUCCGUCAGAUAUCCAACCUGAAACUAACUUCACCGCUGUAUUUACAGGAAAAUAUAUCCAACCUAAAACUAACUUCACCGCCGUAUUUACAGGAAAAUAUAUCCAACCUAAAACUAACUUCACCGCCGUAUUUACAGGAAAAUAUAUCCAACCUAAAACUAACUUCACCGCCGUAUUUACAGGAAAAUAUAUCCAACCUAAAACUAACUUCACCGCCGUAUUUACAGGAAAAUAUAUCCAACCUAAAACUAACUUCACCGCCGUAUUUACAGGAAAAUAUAUCCAACCUAAAACUAACUUCACCGCCGUAUAUACAGGAAAACAUAUCCAACCUAAAACUAACUUCACAGCCGUAUUUACAUCUAUUUUUAGUCGCACUGUCGAGCCCCGCCAUCACACAUUUUGAAUUUGUCAUCUUUUUCUGCGUAUUCUAUGAUAAAAACACAAAAUCCCAGAGUUUAACCUAAUGCCUGUUUAUAUAAAAUCAUGUGAUCUUUUUAUUUUGGGGUACUAACCACAUUCACUUUUACUUUAGCAUUAGUUUCUUAAAGCUGGAACUGGACCGUCCUCCCGCCCCAGUAAACCAGAAUACCGCCCCCUUUAAACGCUCUCCAUAUAGACAAAUUUAAGUUUAAUGCUAACUGAUAGUACUGUGGAUUUCUUUCCUGUAAGAGUUUUUUCUGUGUGAAAAUAAAAAGCAAUAUUUUCCAGUCAAUCUAUUUCUGCACAUAUCCAGACUGUAUGGACCCCAUGAAUAAUUCAUAGUGGGGCUCUUUAGUCCCAUGCACCAUUUACUGCAUGCUUCAUUACGACUGUGGGCUCAGCUGGUGCCGAGCCCCUUCUUUAAUAUUAGCCGGAGCACUAGUUGACAUUCAUGUGAGCCUCCGCUAAAGCAGGGGCACGAGGCUUUAAAUCACUGUCAGGGCUCCACACAGAGCUGCACACAUAACUUCUGACUCCACUCUGUUGGUUAGGAGCAACAGCAGAUGAUCUGGACUUAAGCUAGACAAAUAACUGCCCUCCACUUCCUCCCCCCCUCACCCUCCUCACCCUCCUCCCAGUCUGCUCCGGGCUGCUUUAGUCAAUAUCCGGUCCUGCUUUUCCUACUUCUCAUUCCUGGCCUCUCCCUGCUCAGCCCUUAUCUCUCUUCACUCUUUAUUGCCCUCUUCAUCUGAGGGCUGUUGUUUAGAUUGACAUCUGCCACGACGGCUGAUAAAGACCAAACCGUCCCUCUCACGACCAUCAAAAUCCAAUUCUUGGGUAAAGACGGGAUCAUGCUGUGACGAUACUUCCUCGAACUCAUCAGGCUGCAGAUUACUGCAACAAAAAAAGAGCAGAAUUCAUGAUGAUCUGGACAAAGAGCUGACCUCCCCACCAAAUGGACCACUGCUGUCGAUCAGCUGCUGUCCUUCAGCCCCGUAUCAGGCUGAAACACACACACACACACACACACACAGUGAAGCACUGGAGCACUAACAUGUCAGCAUAAUGAAAUUAGACAGCCUCGUUUGUGACGCUGCAUUGUCCUUGUUCAUCGGUGGCACCGUUCCCACCACACACGGCCUCCUCACCCUGUCCGGAGCUGAGCGACCAGGAUAUUGCUAAUCGCUCACAAUAGAAGGAUUAGCAAGCAAGGACAAUAGGGAUCUAAAUGUCAGAGGCCAGCACCUGCCCUAAGCCCUCUCUGUCGGACAACAGUUAAUGGGCAGCAGGCGGCGGGCAAAUUGUGAAGCGCCGCUCGAAAGAGGAGGCGGGGAGAGGAGGCCUCCGGAGAAAACUGAUGUACAUACAGCUGAAGACAUUUAAAUUUACGACACAUGUCCACAGAUUAAUGUUGGAUAAUAAUCUGAAAAUAUGACAUUUAUAUACUCAGGGAUAGUGAGCACCGCCCACAUUUAAUAAAAGGGAAAUGAAUAAAAACUAAAGUUUAAUUCAGAAAUCAGACAUUGGAUUAAUUCUAAAUCAUAAACCUGAAUUCUCAUUUCAUGAAAUUCCACCUCUGAAGAACAUUAAGGUACAUACUAACUAAACAAGAGGGUACUUUGUUUACAUUCACAUUUUAACUAAAUACUUUAUGUACAUUAAUACUUCAUUUACAUUCUAACUAAUAUUUUGUUCACAUUUUAAUUUAACCAGAUGGCACUUUGUUUACAUUUAGAGUUUAACUGAAUACUUUGUUUACAUUAAUACUUUGUUUAUAUUUUAACUUAACCAGAAGGUAGUUUGUUCACAUUUUAACUAUAUACUUUGUUUAGCUUUUUACAUAACCAGAGGGUGCUUUGUUUACAUUUAUACUCUUUUUACAUUUUAACUGUACCAAAGGGUGCUUUGUUUAUAUUUAUACUCUUUUUACAUUUUAACUGUACCAAAGGGUGCUUUGUUUAUAUUUUAGCUUGUUUACAUUGGUAAUUUGUUUACAUUUAACUUAACCAGAGGGUACUUUGUUUACAUUUUAACCUCAUACUUUGUUUACAUUUUAACUUAAUGCUUUGUUUACAUUAAUACUUUGUUUAUAUUUUAACUUACCCAGAGGGUACUUUAUUUACAUUUUAACUUAACAAGAGGGUACUUUGUUUACAUCUUUAGAAAAACAACAACAACCAGAGGUAAUUUGUUUUUUUUUUCAAAGUCCAUCUUUGGGGCGCUUUGUUAACAUUUAAUAGCUCAGAAAAUGCAGCUACAGGUGCUUUAUCCACAUUUAUGCUUUAUGGUAUUUUUCACGUGAUUAUCACUGUAAGGGCACCAGAUGAGCUUUUUUUGGUCCUUCAUCCAGUUUAAAACAUCUAAGAGUGCACUUAUGUGUUAUUGUUCAAACAUGGCCAUGGGGGGGCAAAGGGAGGUUUGCCCUUCUACUCCCUCUCUAAGCACGCCACUGCUGCCCCCCUCAGGCAGAAGGACCAGAUAGUCAACACAGAUGUGAAUGUAAAUGAGAUGCACGAUGAGUCAAAGUGGGAAUGCCGAGUAUUGGUGAGAGGCUGAAUAGCUUCGUAUAUCAUCCAACUAUAAAAGUCAUUUCUCUCUUAAUGUCCAAAUUAAGUCCAAGUGAGAAGCGAGCGAGUGAAAAAUGCCGCCAUUCCAGCAGACUUCAGGACCAGCUGAGUUUCUAUGAAAUUCCUUGAGCGUGUUUUAUGAAGCUCCUUUUUAUACCGAGGUGUUUUCACUUCCUUCAGCCGUCGUACUGCUUCAGCUGCAGCACUUCCAUUAAUUUGUAGCUUAGCCUUCAGCUAAACAAAACACUACCACUGCUGCAAUUUAAUAGGCAAGGCACAGCGCUGUAGAGAGAGCGAAUGAUGUUGAGUGUCACUGGUAUAAAAAUCAUUGUCUCAUAAUAGCUGACUCUCAGGAGAAAGCUGGUAUUCUUUACUGACUGCCUGCCUUCUUCAAAGCAAGGGCAAAGCUGUUUUGAGAAACACUAAACGAAGUGUUUUUUCACGCAGAGCAACCCUACAGCCAAGAACUUUUUCAGAUGCCACACUCGAGCUUUUCUCUCCAUUUCCUCUUGCAUACAUUUCUAUAAACCCACCGAGCGCGGCCUUGGCUUCUGAAGGUAAUUGUCUCACCCUCGCUGCUUCACUUACAGUGCAGAGCAAGCACAGGACUAAUCUUAUCAGUGCAUGCAGCUCUCUACAAGCCAGACACCUUCAAUGCCAGCUCUCACCUCCUGAUCAAUACAGAUCAGUCCUGGGGAAAUAUGGAGAGCUGUUAUCAGCUGAGAGUGAUAAUAAACGUCGACUAUCUCCAGAGUUACACAGGCUGACAGCUCAGGUGGGCUGUGGAGAACUUAGUCAAACUUAUUACUGUUCGUCUUUUAAUGAACUGAGCUGCCACCAAAGGGAAGACAUCGCUGUGUUGUCCCACAUUACUACAAUAAAAGCUCCAGACACAGCAGCUUCCAUACCUAAAAAACAGUCACGGAAACAACAUCCAUCUUCAUGUCAGAAAAAACCAACAGUUCCUUAUUAAAGACCUUCAGCCAGGAAGUCAGUCAGCCUUGUUUUACCUCCUCUGACUGUGAGGACCUUAGUCGUAAAAGUAAUGUUCAGCACAGUAACACAAAGAAAUAAUCCAAAUGUCAGACAGAGCAGCGCUGCUCCCGCUAACCCAACCUCGGUCCACUAACACAGUCUUAUACAUCAACACUGGGCCCACCCACCCACCCAGCUCCCAUGAUGCUUUACAACAACCAGCAAACAGUGGUGGUUCAUUUAUGUCGAUGAUGAUGUUUCAAUUUCUUCAAUUAAAGGGAUAUCCCGGCAUAAAAUUAAUUUAGGGUCAAACCCACCGUAACACAGUUAGACCCCCCCUCCAGAGAUGAAUGUUGCCGACCGCUUGCUUCUCUAGUUAUACCAACUUUAGCAACGACCCCAGGAUAGAAAUACAGAGAGCCACGCCCUCAACCAAAACGCCACUCUAUAGCCACAAAUAAUGCUCAGAACAGCACCUAACUUCAUCAACAGGACAUAUAGGGUCACAGACAUAGUACUAGACACCAAACAUCUUUUUAACUUUGACUCAUUUCUUUAGCAAAGAGACUAAACACAACUCACCUACUCUCUUCCAGCAGCUGCUUGUUUGUAGUGAGACCUCAGGCUAGUCCAUUAUGGACUACAGCGGGGUGACGCAGCUCAAGGAAGAACAUUUAUGAUCAAAAUACAAACCGUGCGUUUCUGUUCCAGCCUGAGCGAGUAACAAAGAUUCGUCUCUUUUUUUACUUCCUUUAGUUUUCUCCUGUUUGACUUCAGGUCAGGCUCAGACUAGUUCUGGUCCCGUUGAGGUGAAAGCAUGCAAAAGAAAACUGACCCAGAAUCACAUCAUGGGUUUGUUAGUCGGACUAUGAUUACAACUCAGUCAGACUGGAAUGUUUUCUCAUUUUUUAAAGUCCAGGUUCAGUCAAAAGGACGCCAUAUAUGGACUCCUAACAUCUCAUAAACGGACUGUGACAAAAACUUUUCUUUCCAACAUGAAGGAUAUUUUAAUUAGUGGGAGGUGAAGUUUAAAAUAUAAUCAGAGACAGUUAUCAUAACCUAACUUUAUGUCACCCUACUAGGGGCGGGUCCUUGGUGUUCUCGCCUGUCAGUCAAGUCAUUUGUGCCUCUGAUUCGAUUACAUUGAAUCAAACUUGGGCUCUCUGAGCUACGCCAACUUGAACAUUUUGCAUACAGCCUCCAGUGGACACUGAGAGAACUGCAGUUUUUAACACUUACCUGAUCAGUCUGACAUCUACCUGACGUCGGAGGUUAGAAACAUUCAAAACUGGACACUGACCAUCUGCUCUGCUUUUGUAGGUUAUGUGGAAACAGCAGCAGCAGCAUUAGUUCCAGCCUGUUUCAUAACCUCCUGAAAACUCCUCACAGGAGCUUUAAACCGUCAUCACGUGCAGAGAUGUGACCCACUUCAGAUCCUGCAGCAGAGCGUCUAAAUAAACACGAUUGUGGUUCAAAAGAACGAGCAGAGAGGUUUGAUGGAGAAUGAUCUUCACAAUCACACGUCAGAGUCCAGUGAUAUCAUUGACAUACAUCGACUUUUAAUUACCCGCAGAGUCUAAGUGAAGCUGACACCUUCAUAAUGAGCUCAUGUGUCCAGGGAGCUCAUUUGACACGGUGAUAAUGUGUCUGCAUAAUAUGAUCGGCUGUCUCAACAGUCACCUGUCAGUCAAUCUCACAGAUUAGCAUCAGAGUCCCCCUCAGGGACCGCUCUGAAGUCGACUUUAAAGCCAUCUAAAAACAUGUCCAUACUGCCGAUGGUAACGUCUGCUGUAUUCAUGAUUCAGACAAAAUCAGAGUUAUUGUUUUUAUGAAACAGGUUUGAGGUUAAAAACGUCUGACAAACCAUUAAGAGAUGAACGAGUGUUCACAUUCAGGAGACAAAAACCCUUAAAGGUGGUGUAGUCAGGAUCUGAUGAAGUUCCAGUUUUCAGGAGAAAUCUUGAAUGUAAACUCUACCCCACCCAACUCGCUCGUAUCGUUCCAAUUAAAUUCAGAUAUAAUGCAGAUAAAUACUUCAGAUCAUUACAAAUGGGGCCCAGUCAAGGUGAAAGUCAAAAGCAUUGGUGCUACUGUAGAUGCCAACAGACUACCAGCAAACACAAUGUUUGCAGGACUUCUACAACGAGGAUAAAGUGACAUAGUCCAGGACCCGAGGGAGGACAGUUUAGCGAUGGCGCUACAACACGCUACAGCAGGUCCGUUUGACAAGAAACACUUCUGUUACAGACACUUGUCUUACUUUGUUAAAGCGGUUUACCUGUCCAGCAGAAAGGUUACAGGGUCACCAAGAUCCCCAAGCGUCCCCCAUGGUUUAUGUUGACCCGGCUUUUUAGCUCUUGUCCGGUCUACCUCCGUUUUAAGCGCCCGUUAUUCCUCCAGAGUCUCCGGUAUUUACUUUGUUUUCUCGCUUGUGUCGGCAGUCGUGGCCAAAGGAGGAUUCAGACAAUUUUCCGAACUUUCUGGUUGGUUUCUACUGUCCGAUAUUGUAGCACGCUAACUUUGUUUGGGCUCCUGAACGACACGGGGGAGCAGCGUCUGCCUCACAACCAAUCAGGUUAGAGGAGGUGGAGAACGGCUUUGUUUACAGUCAGAAAGAGCGGACCGCUCAAAAAUGUUCAAAUGUUGACGACACAGACAUAAGAGAACACAGAGAUAUCGAUAUAUUACCAAAUGUCAUCAAUAACUAAUAACUAUUGACUGAUAUUAGAAGAUUUUUUGUAAAUACACUACAAAAAUAUGCUUCUUAAUGCUUCUUUAACGGAUUCCUGUCUACUCCACCUUUGCGAGGACUCAGGGUUUAAAUAUUCACUGAACAAAUGGAUCACGCUGUGUCGACACUUCCCGAUAUAAGAGAAAACAGAGGAAGCAAAGGAUCAUGGGAAGUGUGAAAACAAAGUAAACACACCAAAACAAAAAUCAACCAUUUCCCCUCUUCUUCUCCUGCAUGAAGAGAGCGUGAUCUAUCAGAGCGCUCAGAGGAAAUCCUGAGUGAUGGGUUACGUAGACCCCCAUCAGUGGAUCCACACGUGUACCCAGGAGCUGCCAGCACUUGUGUGAUAUUAAUGUCAUCUGCCUUUUGUAGUCGGACUUGGAGGUUCAGAUCACGCUUCAGCUUUGCCUCGGUCGUGACUGCAGGGUCUUACGUCUCCGAAAAGACAGAAGAAGAACAAGAAGAAGAAGAAGAGGAGGAGAGGCUUGUUGGGCUUUAGUUCCAGCAGGCACAUGUCAGAUGCACCUCACUUCCUGCUAUAAACCGGGAUGAGUCUGCUGCUCGCCAGAGAGAGAAAAAAAGGUCAUUUGGCAGCGCUCUCGGCAUUUCACAGCAAUAUUUCUUGCGUAUGAAGUGGUAAAUGGGGGCCUUAACUCACAGAUGGCACGUACUCUGGUGAGAGUCAUAAACCGCCUGCUUCCCGUGAGGGAUUUGUUUGUGUCAAGCACCUGAUACACAUCCAGGGUGUCUUUGAUAAAUCCUGACGGUGGCCGGCAAAUUCAAAGUGCUCAUGCAUGACGGCGAGGUCGACGUGUGAGCAAACACGCCAAACAAACAGCACAAGGUCGUUUGUCUCAGAUACCGACCAUAAAGAAUACUCUGAGUACUGCUGUUGACAGGACGCUGCUUUGGUUAUUACUGCAUCUCUGUGUUCGUACUCAAAGUCUGGAGCAGACAGGAAACUGUGUGUCCGUCAGAUUUUAGUCCGACGCCUUCAGCAUGGUCGGCCUCAAGUAUACAAGAAUAUCAAAUAUCAGAGAUCUCUGGAAUCAGCUGGUUUCAGUAACUUCUCUGUUGGUGCCGCAGUGCAAGUGCAGAAAACUGCAGUUCCUUUCGUGUCCACUCGGGGCAGCAAAGGAAUACCCAUUAGAGCUUAUAUUAAAAUGUUCCUUUUUUUUUUUUUUCACAACUGAAUAAAUUGUAGUUCAUUAUUUGAUCUCUCUACAUCCUUUUUUAUAUUUGUUACCUGUAACUAGGGCUGGUCAAAAAAACGAUAAUGUUAUAUAUCCAAAAUUAAUUUCCCUCAAUAUCUGUAUGAAACAUGGUCAAUAUGCUUUUCAAUAGUCGUCAUUCUGACAUGUUUUGGUCGACUAUACGAACAGCCAAUGAAAAGGGGAGUGUCUCCGGGUCUGAACCAAUCAUGUUCUGAAUUAGAACCAAGUAUCAACCAACUGCAGCGUCGUAGCAGACAGCAGCUCCACCCAACCAUAGCACUUUAACAGGUGAAGCCGACAGCACUGUUGGUGAGAAACAAAGAAAAUGAGUGCUACCCCCGACAGAAAUGACCAUGAAGGCUCAACAGAUGACCACAUCAAUGUCAACCACAACACUGGCGUUAGGCAAACGUCGGUGGUGUGGAGGUAUUUUGGUUUUUGGAGGUCGGACAUGAAGCAGAGUAAUGUGGACUGUAAAUUAUGUCGAGUACAUGUUCUCACAAAGUCGGGGAAUACCUCAAAUCUUUUUCACCACCUGAAGCAGCGCCACA
Xyrichtys novacula (pearly razorfish) is the source of this 20163-nucleotide non-coding RNA. Lineage: Eukaryota; Metazoa; Chordata; Actinopteri; Labriformes; Labridae. The record is from the annotation of a GenBank genome assembly.